AAGUAAUUAGUUAAUGUAAUAACCUAAGAUUGUCAAGCUUAAAUAACUAUUUUUAGUAUUACUUA
Molecule: transfer RNA, 65 nt
Filed under: Sminthurides bifidus
Lineage: Eukaryota; Metazoa; Arthropoda; Collembola; Symphypleona; Sminthurididae
Description: tRNA-Asp
Source: RNAcentral